AUACCCGGGGUAGUUCCAGGCUGUUAAACCGAUGGCGGGCCCNAGGUGUUCGCGAUAAGCCCAUGANGCUAUNCGCGGCNNCCGGAGGGAAAGCCGUUAAGCCCCGCCNCCUGGGAAGUACGGCCGCAAGGCUGAAACUUAAAGGAAUUGGCGGGGGGAGCACUACAACGGGUGGAGCCUGCGGUUUAAUUGGAUUCAACGCCGGGAAGCUUACCGGGGGAGACAGCGGGAUGAAGGUCGGGCUGAAGACCCUACCAGACUAGCUGAGAGGUGGUGCAUGGCCGCCGUCAGUUCGUACUGUGAAGCAUCCUGUUAAGUCAGGCAACGAGCGANACCCGCGCCCUCAGUUGCCAGCGGAUCGCUUUUGCGAUGCCGGGCACACUGGGGGGACUGCCGGCGCUAAGCCGGAGGAAGGUGCGGGCAACGGCAGGUCCGUAUGCCCCGAAUCCCCCGGGCUACACGCGGGCUACAAUGGCCGGGACAAUGGGUACCGACCCCGAAAGGGAUAGGUAAUCUCCUAAACCCGGUCUAACCUGGGAUCGAGGNCUGCAACUCGNCCUCGUGAACCUGGCAUUCCGUAGAAU
This 584-nucleotide ribosomal RNA is filed under the name uncultured archaeon. RNAcentral's name for it is "bacterial SSU rRNA". It matches the Rfam family "Archaeal small subunit ribosomal RNA", at positions 733 to 1297 of the family's 1478-position model. The record is from RNAcentral.